This 585-nucleotide ribosomal RNA is filed under the name Papiliotrema laurentii. RNAcentral describes it as "eukaryotic LSU rRNA". It matches the Rfam family "Eukaryotic large subunit ribosomal RNA", at positions 63 to 636 of the family's 3401-position model. The record is from RNAcentral. Lineage: Eukaryota; Fungi; Basidiomycota; Tremellomycetes; Tremellales; Rhynchogastremaceae.
AACUAGCAAGGGAUUCCCCUAGUAACGGCGAGUGAACCGGGAAGAGCUCAAAUUUGAAAUCUGGCGUCCUCAGGGCGUCCGAGUUGUAAUCUAUAGAGGCGUUUUCCGUGCCGGACCGUGUCCAAGUUCCUUGGAACAGGAUAUCAAAGAGGGUGACAAUCCCGUACUUGACACGACGACCGGUGCUCUGUGAUACGUCUUCUACGAGUCGAGUUGUUUGGGAAUGCAGCUCAAAAUGGGUGGUGAGUUCCAUCUAAAGCUAAAUAUUGGCGAGAGACCGAUAGCGAACAAGUACCGUGAGGGAAAGAUGAAAAGCACUUUGGAAAGAGAGUUAAACAGUACGUGAAAUUGUUGAAAGGGAAACGAUUGAAGUCAGUCGUGACCGAGAGGCUCAGCCGGUUCUGCCGGUGUAUUCCCCUCGGUCGGGUCAACAUCAGUUUUGUCCGGUGGAUAAGGGCGGUAGGAAGGUGGCACCCUCGGGUGUGUUAUAGCCUGCCGUCGCAUACAUCGGGUGAGACUGAGGAACGCAGCUCGCCUUUAUGGCCGGGGUUCGCCCACGUCCGAGCUUAGGAUGUUGACAUAAUG